Molecule: unclassified non-coding RNA, 227 nt
Filed under: Hevea brasiliensis (rubber tree)
Lineage: Eukaryota; Viridiplantae; Streptophyta; Magnoliopsida; Malpighiales; Euphorbiaceae
Source: RNAcentral
GUGGAAACCUUCAAACACUCAUACUCAAUAACAAUUUCAUCUCAGGGACACUUCCACAGUCCAUUUCCAAAUGUACCAACUUGGUUUGGGUUUCAUUGUCCAGCAAUCGACUGUCUGGAGAGAUACCACAAGGAAUUGGGAAUCUUGCAAAUCUUGCUAUCCUUCAGUUAGGUAAUAACUCACUUACUGGACCAAUCCCUCGAGGAUUAGGUUCUUGCAGGAACUUG